RNAcentral lists this ribosomal RNA (129 nucleotides) under uncultured bacterium. RNAcentral describes it as "partial 16S ribosomal RNA". It matches the Rfam family "Bacterial small subunit ribosomal RNA", at positions 338 to 466 of the family's 1533-position model. The record is from RNAcentral.
CCUACGGGAGGCAGCAGUGGGGAAUAUUGGUCAAUGGGCGAAAGCCUGAACCAGCGACGCCGCGUGGAGGAUGAAGGCCGAAAGGUCUUAAACUCCUUUUGUAAGGGAAAAAGGAAUGAGGUGUGAAUA